UAAUACAUGCAGUCGAACGAACUCUGGUAUUGAUUGGUGCUUGCAUCAUGAUUUACAUUUGAGUGAGUGGCGAACUGGUGAGUAACACGUGGGAAACCUGCCCAGAAGCGGGGGAUAACACCUGGAAACAGAUGCUAAUACCGCAUAACAACUUGGACCGCAUGGUCCGAGCUUGAAAGAUGGCUUCGGCUAUCACUUUUGGAUGGUCCCGCGGCGUAUUAGCUAGAUGGUGGGGUAACGGCUCACCAUGGCAAUGAUACGUAGCCGACCUGAGAGGGUAAUCGGCCACAUUGGGACUGAGACACGGCCCAAACUCCUACGGGAGGCAGCAGUAGGGAAUCUUCCACAAUGGACGAAAGUCUGAUGGAGCAACGCCGCGUGAGUGAAGAAGGGUUUCGGCUCGUAAAACUCUGUUGUUAAAGAAGAACAUAUCUGAGAGUAACUGUUCAGGUAUUGACGGUAUUUAACCAGAAAGCCACGGCUAACUACGUGCCAGCAGCCGCGGUAAUACGUAGGUGGCAAGCGUUGUCCGGAUUUAUUGGGCGUAAAGCGAGCGCAGGCGGUUUUUUAAGUCUGAUGUGAAAGCCUUCGGCUCAACCGAAGAAGUGCAUCGGAAACUGGGAAACUUGAGUGCAGAAGAGGACAGUGGAACUCCAUGUGUAGCGGUGAAAUGCGUAGAUAUAUGGAAGAACACCAGUGGCGAAGGCGGCUGUCUGGUCUGUAACUGACGCUGAGGCUCGAAAGUAUGGGUAGCAAACAGGAUUAGAUACCCUGGUAGUCCAUACCGUAAACGAUGAAUGCUAAGUGUUGGAGGGUUUCCGCCCUUCAGUGCUGCAGCUAACGCAUUAAGCAUUCCGCCUGGGGAGUACGGCCGCAAGGCUGAAACUCAAAGGAA
Molecule: ribosomal RNA, 895 nt
Filed under: Lactiplantibacillus plantarum
Lineage: Bacteria; Bacillati; Bacillota; Bacilli; Lactobacillales; Lactobacillaceae
Description: bacterial SSU rRNA
Rfam family: Bacterial small subunit ribosomal RNA
Source: RNAcentral